CAGGAAGCAUGAGGAGCCCACACUUCUACAAAGAGUCGAGAUGCCUUCACAAAGAUGCCUCAUGCUGCAAGGUGGUUUGUGAGGCUGGAAGAGGAGUUGAAACUUGUUUGUAAUUAUUGUGUGGUGUAUUUGCAUUUCUAAUUGCGCUGAGGGACACUGAAGGCCAAGCUUCCAGUCUCUGGGCUGUCUUUCACCUGCGCCGCGGUGCUGAGUUG
RNAcentral lists this long non-coding RNA (215 nucleotides) under Homo sapiens (human). Its description in RNAcentral is "HSALNT0239539". Lineage: Eukaryota; Metazoa; Chordata; Mammalia; Primates; Hominidae. The record is from RNAcentral.